GUUGGGCACGGUUGUGCGUGCCUGUAAUCCCAGCUACUCAGGAGACUGAGGCAGGAGAAUUGCUUGAGCCUAGGAGGCGGAGGUUGCAGUGAGCUGGGAUCAUGCCACUGCACUCUAGCCUGGGCGACAGAGUGAGACUCUGUCUCAA
This 148-nucleotide non-coding RNA is filed under the name Pan troglodytes (chimpanzee). Lineage: Eukaryota; Metazoa; Chordata; Mammalia; Primates; Hominidae. The record is from Rfam by way of RNAcentral.